RNAcentral lists this ribosomal RNA (453 nucleotides) under uncultured bacterium. Its description in RNAcentral is "SSU rRNA". It matches the Rfam family "Bacterial small subunit ribosomal RNA", at positions 26 to 518 of the family's 1533-position model. The record is from RNAcentral.
AGGAUGAACGCUGGCGGCAUGCCUAACACAUGCAAGUCGAACGGUCCUUUUAGGACAGUGGCGGACGGGUGAGUAACACGUUGGUACCUUCCCCGGAGUGGGGGAUAAUUCGCCGAAAGGCGGACUAAUACCCCAUGGUCUUGCACUUGUUGCAAGUAAAGAUUUAUUGCUCUGGGAUGGGCCUGCGGUUGAUUAGCUUGUUGGUGAGGUAAUGGCUCACCAAGGCGACGAUCAAUAGCUGGAUCGAGAGGUUGACCAGCCACACUGGGACUGAGAUACGGCCCAGACUCCUACGGGAGGCAGCAGUGAGGAAUUUUCCGCAAUGGGCGAAAGCCUGACGGAGCAAUGCCGCGUGAAGGAAGAAGCCUUUCGGGGUGUAAACUUCUUUAUCAGGGAAGAAGACAUGACGGUACCUGAUGAAUAAGCAUCGGCUAACUACGUGCCAGCAGCCGC